ACCUACAGCCAAACCACCCUAAACGCAUUCGAUCUCUACUGAUCUUGAGAGUAAAGCAGGGUCAGGCCUGGUUAGUAUUUGAAUGGGACAGCACUCGGGAAUACUAGGUGCUGUAGGCA
Molecule: ribosomal RNA, 119 nt
Filed under: Meriones unguiculatus (Mongolian gerbil)
Lineage: Eukaryota; Metazoa; Chordata; Mammalia; Rodentia; Muridae
Source: RNAcentral